GCAUGAAGCCGGAAUUGCUAGUAAUGGCAGGUCAGCAUACUGCCGUGAAUGCGUUCCCGGGCCUUGUACACACCGCCCGUCACACCAUGAGAGUUGGAAAUACCCGAAGCCUGUGAGCUAACUUAAAGAGGCAGCAGUCGAAGGUAGAGCCAAUGAUUGGGGUGAAGUCGUAACAAGGUAUC
Molecule: ribosomal RNA, 182 nt
Filed under: uncultured bacterium
Lineage: Bacteria
Description: partial 16S ribosomal RNA
Rfam family: Bacterial small subunit ribosomal RNA
Source: RNAcentral